RNAcentral lists this ribosomal RNA (465 nucleotides) under Vreelandella stevensii. RNAcentral's name for it is "partial 16S ribosomal RNA". It matches the Rfam family "Bacterial small subunit ribosomal RNA", at positions 338 to 795 of the family's 1533-position model. The record is from RNAcentral. Lineage: Bacteria; Pseudomonadati; Pseudomonadota; Gammaproteobacteria; Oceanospirillales; Halomonadaceae.
CCUACGGGGGGCUGCAGUGGGGAAUAUUGGACAAUGGGGGGAACCCUGAUCCAGCCAUGCCGCGUGUGUGAAGAAGGCCCUCGGGUUGUAAAGCACUUUCAGUGAGGAAGAACGCCUGGUGGUUAAUACCCAUCAGGAAAGACAUCACUCACAGAAGAAGCACCGGCUAACUCCGUGCCAGCAGCCGCGGUAAUACGGAGGGUGCGAGCGUUAAUCGGAAUUACUGGGCGUAAAGCGCGCGUAGGUGGCUUGAUAAGCCGGUUGUGAAAGCCCCGGGCUCAACCUGGGAACGGCAUCCGGAACUGUCAAGCUAGAGUGCAGGAGAGGAAGGUAGAAUUCCCGGUGUAGCGGUGAAAUGCGUAGAGAUCGGGAGGAAUACCAGUGGCGAAGGCGGCCUUCUGGACUGACACUGACACUGAGGUGCGAAAGCGUGGGUAGCAAACAGGAUUAGAUACCCUGGUAGUC